RNAcentral lists this ribosomal RNA (305 nucleotides) under uncultured bacterium. RNAcentral describes it as "bacterial SSU rRNA". It matches the Rfam family "Bacterial small subunit ribosomal RNA", at positions 338 to 660 of the family's 1533-position model. The record is from RNAcentral.
CCUACGGGGCGCAGCAGUCGGGAAUAUUGCGCAAUGGAGGAAGCUCUGACGCAGUGACGCCGCGUGCAGGAAGAAGGUUUUCGGAUUGUAAACUGCUUUAGACAGGGAAGAUAAUGACAGUACCUGUAGAAUAAGCUCCGGCUAACUACGUGCCAGCAGCCGCGGUAAUACGUAGGGAGCAAGCGUUAUCCGGAAUGAUUGGGCGUAAAGGGUGCGCAGGCGGUCCUGCAAGUCUGGAGUGAAACGCAUGAGCUCAACUCAUGCAUGGCGUUGGAAACUGGAGGACUGGAGAGCAGGAGAGGGCG